This 148-nucleotide non-coding RNA is filed under the name Nomascus leucogenys (northern white-cheeked gibbon). Lineage: Eukaryota; Metazoa; Chordata; Mammalia; Primates; Hylobatidae. The record is from Rfam by way of RNAcentral.
GCUGGGUGUGGUGUUGCGCGCCUGUAAUCCCAGCUACUCAGGAGGCUGAGGCAGGAGAAUUGCUUGAACCCAGGAGGCGGAGGUUGCAGUGAGCUGAGCUCGUGCCACUGCACCCCAGCCUGGGCGACAGAGCAAGACUUUGUCUUUA